GAAUAUUGGACAAUGGGGGCAACCCUGAUCCAGCCAUGCCGCGUGUGUGAAGAAGGCUUUCGGGUUGUAAAGCACUUUCAGUGAGGAGGAAAAGUGGGUCCCUAAUACGGGCUCGCCUUGACGUUACCCACAGUAGAAGCACCGGCUAACCCCGUGCCAGCAGCCGCGGUAAUACGGAGGGUGCAAGCGUUAAUCGGAAUUACUGGGCGUAAAGCGCGCGUAGGUGGUUUGAUAAGCGAGAUGUGAAAGCCCCGGGCUUAACCUGGGAACGGCAUUUCGAACUGUCAGGCUAGAGUGUGGUAGAGGGUAGUGGAAUUUCCUGUGUAGCGGUGAAAUGCGUAGAUAUAGGAAGGAACACCAGUGGCGAAGGCGGCUACCUGGACCAACACUGACACUGAGGUGCGAAAGCGUGGGGAGCAAACAGG
This 425-nucleotide ribosomal RNA is filed under the name uncultured bacterium. RNAcentral's name for it is "bacterial SSU rRNA". It matches the Rfam family "Bacterial small subunit ribosomal RNA", at positions 359 to 776 of the family's 1533-position model. The record is from RNAcentral.